Molecule: long non-coding RNA, 1883 nt
Filed under: Marmota monax (woodchuck)
Lineage: Eukaryota; Metazoa; Chordata; Mammalia; Rodentia; Sciuridae
Source: RNAcentral
AUAAGGUCCUUUUCCUAACAACAUAUCUAGAUUUCUCUGAGGAUAACCGGCUGCUGCAAAUCGCCUAGCCGUCUCCAUGCAAAAUUCCUCAUUGGCAACCUUCCAUAACAAAUAUUGCCCUCUAUUUAGCACAGCUUUAUACAUACUAGUCCAAUCUGCUGGCGUCAUGUCCAAGUUGGUAAUGGAUUCGACCAUGCUUACAGUGAAGGGUGCUUGGGGACCAUAGGUUGUUACAGCCUCCUUUAACUGCUUCACUGUUUUGAAAUCUAAAGCACGGUGAAUUCGCUGCCCUCCUGCCUGCUCAAGUACAGGGCAUGCUAAUCUUUGAGGUCCUGUCUCAGGAUCCCAUCUAUCAACUACGGGGGUUGGGGGCCCCCCAGCAUAUGUUGUCUCUAUAGGUGGAGCUGUUGGUUGGACACUUACGCCCUCUGGUGAUAGAAAGGUGUUAGUAGCAGCCUCCCGUUAUAACUUUUUUCCCUGAUAACCCUUCCUCCUUUAAAUUUUCUUCCUCUGUUUGACUAGCUCAAGAGACCUUCUCUUUUACUUGAUCUAAAAUGUCUUCCUCCAUAGUCUGAACCUCUAACAAUUUACUUAACACUCUUUCGGUUUGUUUUGUACUAAUUUCUAAUCUACUAUAAAGAUAAUGCAACCCAAGAAGAUAACACAAAACAACUCCGAAACAGAAUGAAACAAAAACAGAACAAAAAAUCAUUGUAUCAAUUUUCCUAUUUUCUUGAAAUGUAUUUUCGUGGUCUAUCUCUAUCUCUUCCUCAGGGCCGAACAACUUCAAACCUUGAGCCAACCAUUUUUCCCAGUUUGCCUGAGAAAGUUCUAGGGACAGGCAGCUUGAAAGAAAAACAAAACAAAUCAAAACAAGAACACAUUGUUUUUUGAAAUGGUCACCCAUUCUUUCGCUCUCCUUCAGGGGCAAGCAAUUUCACUUACCCCCAAGCUUCAGGCGUUCCCCGUACGGGCCACCAAAUGCUGCAGUCUGGCUGGGCACAAAUCACCGAGCCACCACAAAGCACUUGUAUGUUCAAACAGGAAACUUUAUUGCCUGAGCUCUAACAGCACUCCACGCACUCUCCCCGGGAACUCUCCCGAACGCCACCCACACGGCCCCUUUCUGGCACACCACACUAACCGGAACUCCCUCCACCGGAACUUCACCAACCAACUCGAACUCCCCAGGAAAUCUCUGGAGAACUCCAAAGUAGUGGGUGCCCAAGGCUGAAAGCAGGGGUCUAUAUACAAUUGAAUCAAUCCAGCAUCAUCUUAAUGGCUCGCCUCUCAACCAUUACUUCUGGAAAAAUGCCAGGCGUCAUCCCGACUCGGCUGUGGCCCUCAACAGUGAGGACCCAUAGCAACCCCCUAGCAACCAGCAAUCAGCAUGAGACAGGGAAAAUAACUGGGAUGCCAGAUAACCCUCCCAGUAGUUUAUGGUGGUUGAUAACAUGUUGGGAAACCAUGUAGUUCAGCAUGUAUACCCCUCGUGGUUUAAACCAAUCAAUUCAAACGAAUCCCCCUCUUUUUUCUUUUUUUUAAGAGACAGAGAGAGAAUUUUAUUUAAAUAUUUAUUUUUCGGUUUUCGGUGGACACAACAUCUUUAUUUUAUUUUUAUGUGGUGCUGAGGAUCGAACCCAGCGCCCCGCGCAUGCCAGGCAAGCGCGUUACCACUUGAGCCACAUCCCCAGCCCACGAAUCCCCCUCUUGUACUAACCAAUCACCCCUACCCAACUUGUUCCUGCCAGUGAAUGUGCUAAUCAAUGUUAAGAAUUGUUGUUUGAUUUUCCUGAGGUGUGUGAUGAUUUGCUAGGAGAUACUAUGAUGUAUGUGAAGUCCCUGCCUUCACCAAAGAGUGUAUAAAACUGCUGCAAACCCUG